RNAcentral lists this ribosomal RNA (451 nucleotides) under uncultured Methanosaeta sp. RNAcentral describes it as "bacterial SSU rRNA". It matches the Rfam family "Archaeal small subunit ribosomal RNA", at positions 886 to 1338 of the family's 1478-position model. Lineage: Archaea; Methanobacteriati; Methanobacteriota; Methanomicrobia; Methanotrichales; Methanotrichaceae. The record is from RNAcentral.
CGGUGGAGCCUGCGGUUUAAUUGGAUCAACGCCGGAAAUCUCACCGGGGCGACAGCAAUAUGAAGGUCAGGCUGAAGACCUUACCCGAUUAGCUGAGAGGUGGUGCAUGGCCGUCGUCAGUUCGUACUGUGAAGCAUCCUGUUAAGUCAGGCAACGAGCGAGACCCACGUCCACAGUUGCCAGCAUACCCUCCGGGGUGAUGGGUACACUGUGGAGACCGCCGCUGCUAAAGCGGAGGAAGGAGUGGGCAACGGUAGGUCAGUAUGCCCCGAAUCUCCCGGGCUACACGCGGGCUACAAUGGUUGGUACAAUGGGCAUCUACCCCGAAAGGGGAAGGAAAUCUCUUAAAGCCAAUCGUAGUUCGGAUUGAGGGCUGCAACUCGCCCUCAUGAAGCUGGAAUCCGUAGUAAUCGCGUUUCAACAGAACGCGGUGAAUACGUCCCUGCUCCUU